UACGUAGGGACCAAGCGUUGUUCGGAUUUACUGGGCGUAAAGGGCGCGUAGGCGGCAAUUCAAGUCAGUUGUGAAAUCUCCGAGCUUAACUCGGAACGGUCAACUGAUACUGUUUUGCUAGAGUGCAGAAAGGGCAACCGGAAUUCUUGGUGUAGCGGUGAAAUGCGUAGAUAUCUGGAGGAAUACCGGUGGCGAAGGCGGCAUCCUGGACCGACAUUGACGCUGAUGAGCGAAAGCUAGGGGAGCAAACGGGG
RNAcentral lists this ribosomal RNA (254 nucleotides) under uncultured bacterium. RNAcentral describes it as "partial 16S ribosomal RNA". It matches the Rfam family "Bacterial small subunit ribosomal RNA", at positions 524 to 777 of the family's 1533-position model. The record is from RNAcentral.